GCCCGUGUAGCUCAGUGGAACAGAGCGCCCGGUUGACUACCUGGGGGGUCGCACGGUUCGAAUCCGGCCACGGGCUCCA
This 79-nucleotide transfer RNA is filed under the name Acidobacteriota bacterium. RNAcentral describes it as "tRNA-Val". It matches the Rfam family "tRNA". From Rfam's summary of the family: Transfer RNA (tRNA) molecules are approximately 80 nucleotides in length. Their secondary structure includes four short double-helical elements and three loops (D, anti-codon, and T loops). Further hydrogen bonds mediate the characteristic L-shaped molecular structure. tRNAs have two regions of fundamental functional importance: the anti-codon, which is responsible for specific mRNA codon recognition, and the 3' end, to which the tRNAs corresponding amino acid is attached (by aminoacyl-tRNA synthetases). tRNAs cope with the degeneracy of the genetic code in two manners: having more than one tRNA (with a specific anti-codon) for a particular amino acid; and 'wobble' base-pairing, i.e. permitting non-standard base-pairing at the 3rd anti-codon position. Lineage: Bacteria; Pseudomonadati; Acidobacteriota. The record is from RNAcentral.